RNAcentral lists this ribosomal RNA (492 nucleotides) under Veillonella parvula. Its description in RNAcentral is "bacterial SSU rRNA". It matches the Rfam family "Bacterial small subunit ribosomal RNA", at positions 28 to 492 of the family's 1533-position model. The record is from RNAcentral. Lineage: Bacteria; Bacillati; Bacillota; Negativicutes; Veillonellales; Veillonellaceae.
GACGAACGCUGGCGGCGUGCUUAACACAUGCAAGUCGAACGAAGAGCGAUGGAAGCUUGCUUCUAUCAAUCUUAGUGGCGAACGGGUGAGUAACGCGUAAUCAACCUGCCCUUCAGAGGGGGACAACAGUUGGAAACGACUGCUAAUACCGCAUACGAUCUAAUCUCGGCAUCGAGGAUAGAUGAAAGGUGGCCUCUACUUGUAAGCUAUCACUGAAGGAGGGGAUUGCGUCUGAUUAGCUAGUUGGAGGGGUAACGGCCCACCAAGGCGAUGAUCAGUAGCCGGUCUGAGAGGAUGAACGGCCACAUUGGGACUGAGACACGGCCCAGACUCCUACGGGAGGCAGCAGUGGGGAAUCUUCCGCAAUGGACGAAAGUCUGACGGAGCAACGCCGCGCGAGUGAUGACGGCCUUCGGGUUGUAAAGCUCUGUUAAUCGGGACGAAAGGCCUUCUUGCGAAUAGUGAGAAGGAUAGACGUACCGAAUAGAAGCC